Molecule: ribosomal RNA, 253 nt
Filed under: uncultured bacterium
Lineage: Bacteria
Description: partial 16S ribosomal RNA
Rfam family: Bacterial small subunit ribosomal RNA
Source: RNAcentral
UACGUAGGGUGCGAGCGUUAAUCGGAAUUACUGGGCGUAAAGCGUGCGCAGGCGGUUUUGUAAGCCAGAUGUGAAAGCCCCGGGCUUAACCUGGGAAUUGCGAUGGAGACUGCAAGGCUUGAAUCUGGCAGAGGUGGGUAGAAUUCCACGUGUAGCAGUGAAAUGCGUAGAUAUCUGGAGGAACACCGGUGGCGAAGGCGGCAUCCUGGACCGGCAUUGACGCUGAGGCGCGAAAGCUAGGGGAGCAAACGGG